UAUUGCAUGGCAUAGUGGUUUGAGUUUUGAACUAUAACUCUGGAGACCAGGGUUCGAUUCCCAGCUCAGCCA
Phrynosoma platyrhinos (Desert horned lizard) is the source of this 72-nucleotide non-coding RNA. NCBI's taxonomy places the organism in Eukaryota, Metazoa, Chordata, Lepidosauria, Squamata, Phrynosomatidae. The record is from the annotation of a GenBank genome assembly.